AAUCAACGCUGGCGGCGUGCCUAACACAUGCAAGUCGCACGAGAAAGGGCUUUCGGGCCCGAGUAAAGUGGCGCACGGGUGAGUAACACGUGACUAAUCUACCUUCGAGUGGGGAAUAACCUAGGGAAACCUGGGCUAAUACCGCAUAACACUUACGAGUCAAAGCAGCAAUGCGCUUGAAGAGGAGGUCGCGGCAGAUUAGCUAGUUGGCGGGGUAAUGGCCCACCAAGGCAAUGAUCUGUAUCCGGCCUGAGAGGGCGCACGGACACACUGGAACUGAAACACGGUCCAGACUCCUACGGGAGGCAGCAGUGGGGAAUUUUGCGCAAUGGGGGAAACCCGUGACGCAGCAACGCCGCGUGGAGGAUGAAGUCUCUUGGGACGUAAACUCCUUUCGAUAGGGAAGAUUAUGACGGUACCUAUAGAAGAAGCCCCGGCCUAACUUCGUGCCAGCCGCCGCGGUAAC
Molecule: ribosomal RNA, 466 nt
Filed under: uncultured bacterium
Lineage: Bacteria
Description: bacterial SSU rRNA
Rfam family: Bacterial small subunit ribosomal RNA
Source: RNAcentral